RNAcentral lists this ribosomal RNA (254 nucleotides) under uncultured bacterium. RNAcentral's name for it is "partial 16S ribosomal RNA". It matches the Rfam family "Bacterial small subunit ribosomal RNA", at positions 524 to 776 of the family's 1533-position model. The record is from RNAcentral.
UACGUAGGUGACAAGCGUUGUCCGGAUUUACUGGGCGUAAAGGGCGCGUAGGCGGCGUGGUAAGUCAGUUGUGAAAUCUCCGAGCUUAACUCGGAACGGCCAACUGAUACUGCUGUGCUAGAGUGCAGAAGGGGCAAUCAGAAUUCUUGGUGUAGCGGUGAAAUGCGUAGAUAUCAAGAGGAAUACCUGAGGUGAAGACGGGUUGCUAGGCUGACACUGACGCUGAGGCGCGAAAGCCAGGGGGAGCAAACAGG